This 622-nucleotide ribosomal RNA is filed under the name uncultured bacterium. RNAcentral's name for it is "bacterial SSU rRNA". It matches the Rfam family "Bacterial small subunit ribosomal RNA", at positions 814 to 1432 of the family's 1533-position model. The record is from RNAcentral.
CACUAGUUGUUGCUAUGCUAGACAUAGCAGUAAUGCAGUUAACACAGUAAGUGUGCCGCCUGGGGAGUACGGUCGCAAGAUUAAAACUCAAAGGAAUAGACGGGGACCCGCACAAGCGGUGGAGCAUGUGGUUUAAUUCGACGAUACGCGAAGAACCUUACCUGGCCUUGACAUAGACAGAAUUUCGCAGAGACGUGAAAGUGCUAGUUUACUAGAACUGUCAUACAGGUGCUGCACGGCUGUCGUCAGCUCGUGUCGUGAGAUGUUGGGUUAAGUCCCGCAACGAGCGCAACCCUCGUGUUUAGUUACUAACAGUUCGGCUGAGGACUCUAGACAGACUGCCUGGGCAACCAGGAGGAAGGUGAGGACGACGUCAAGUCAUCAUGGCCCUUACGGCCAGGGCUACACACGUGCUACAAUGGGGUAUACAAAGAGCUGCAAUACGGUGACGUGGAGCAAAUCUCAUAAAAUAUCUCCCAGUUCGGAUUGAAGUCUGCAACUCGACUUCAUGAAGUUGGAAUCGCUAGUAAUCGUAGAUCAGCAAUGCUACGGUGAAUACGUUCCCGGGUCUUGUACUCACCGCCCGUCACACCAUGGGAAUUGAAUUCAUUCGAAGCGGGGA